UUUAUGGAGAGUUUGAUCCUGGCUCAGGAUGAACGCUGGCGGCGUGCCUAAUACAUGCAAGUCGAGCGAACAGACGAGGAGCUUGCUCCUCUAACGUUAGCGGCGGACGGGUGAGUAACACGUGGAUAACCUACCUAUAAGACUGGGAUAACUUCGGGAAACCGGAGCUAAUACCGGAUAAUAUAUUGAACCGCAUGGUUCAAUAGUGAAAGAC
This 214-nucleotide ribosomal RNA is filed under the name Staphylococcus epidermidis. RNAcentral's name for it is "partial 16S ribosomal RNA". It matches the Rfam family "Bacterial small subunit ribosomal RNA", at positions 1 to 208 of the family's 1533-position model. Lineage: Bacteria; Bacillati; Bacillota; Bacilli; Caryophanales; Staphylococcaceae. The record is from RNAcentral.